Molecule: long non-coding RNA, 332 nt
Organism: Passer domesticus (house sparrow)
Lineage: Eukaryota; Metazoa; Chordata; Aves; Passeriformes; Passeridae
Exons: 2
Source: RefSeq, a predicted model, not a curated record
AGCCUCGACUCAUGAUAGCCAGACGAGGGAUACCAAAGCUGCUGCAGCCCAACCUGUUUUCACCUUGGCUGUGUGACUUCCUGAGCUGCUGCCUGCAGACAGACAAGGAGCAGCGCUGGUCUGCCAAGGAGCUCCUGCAGCAUCCAUUUGUAAGAUUUGCUGAGCCUGCAUCCAGCCUGGUGCCACUGAUUGUUUCAGUGAAGAAGAGGAAUGACCAAAGAAACUGAAAAUCACAUCAGGACCAUUUACUUCUCAACCGGCACAGGGCAGGAUUGUAGGUUCGGACAAGGGUUAGGGUUAGGGUUAGAGUUGGGGUUAGGGUUAGGGUUGGG